Molecule: ribosomal RNA, 443 nt
Filed under: uncultured bacterium
Lineage: Bacteria
Description: partial 16S ribosomal RNA
Rfam family: Bacterial small subunit ribosomal RNA
Source: RNAcentral
CCUACGGGAGGCAGCAGUGGGGGAUAUUGGACAAUGGGGGGAACCCUGAUCCAGCGACGCCGCGUGAGUGAAGAAGUAUUUCGGUAUGUAAAGCUCUGUCAGCAGGGAAGAAAGCAAUGACGGUACCUGACCAAGAAGCCCCGGCUAACUACGUGCCAGCAGCCGCGGUAAUACGUAGGGGGCAAGCGUUAUCCGGAAUUACUGGGUGUAAAGGGAGCGUAGACGGCUGUGCAAGUCUGGAGUGAAAGGCGGGGGCCCAACCCCCGGACUGUUCUGGAAACUGUAUGGCUGGAGUGCAGGGGAGGUAAGCGGAAGUCCUAGGGUAGGGGUGAAAUGCGUAGAUAUUAGGAGGACCACCAGGGGCGAAGGCGGCUUACUGGACUGUAACUGACGUUGAGGCUCGAAAGCGUGGGGAGAAAACAGGAUUAGAUACCCAAGUAGUC